UCUUAGGUUGUUCUGCUGCACCCUAAAUAA
RNAcentral lists this non-coding RNA (30 nucleotides) under Rattus norvegicus (Norway rat). The record is from RNAcentral. Lineage: Eukaryota; Metazoa; Chordata; Mammalia; Rodentia; Muridae.